CAAGUCAAUUGAGUCAAAAUGUUGUAGAACAAUUGCAUUUGAACAUUUUGAUCAAUUGACUUGGC
Molecule: microRNA precursor, 65 nt
Organism: Monodelphis domestica (gray short-tailed opossum)
Lineage: Eukaryota; Metazoa; Chordata; Mammalia; Didelphimorphia; Didelphidae
Source: Ensembl